UACGGACGGCGUAAGCGUUAUUCGGAAUGAUUGGGCGUAAAGGGUCCGUAGGCGGUCUUUAUAAACCUUUUGUGAAAAGCUAGGGUGUAACCGUAGACAGACAUUAACCGAUUAUUUGACUGGGAGUUAGGAGGAGGUUGGGGGAAUUUCUAGUGUAACAGUAAAAUCUUCCGAGAUUAGAAAGAACACCAAAGGCGAAGGCACCUUUCUGAUCUUAACUGACGCUGAUGGACGAAAGCGUGGGGAGCAAACAGG
This 255-nucleotide ribosomal RNA is filed under the name uncultured bacterium. Its description in RNAcentral is "partial 16S ribosomal RNA". It matches the Rfam family "Bacterial small subunit ribosomal RNA", at positions 524 to 776 of the family's 1533-position model. The record is from RNAcentral.